This is an RNA transcript of Galleria mellonella (greater wax moth), 2888 nucleotides long. RefSeq lists it as uncharacterized. Lineage: Eukaryota; Metazoa; Arthropoda; Insecta; Lepidoptera; Pyralidae. The transcript has 13 exons. The record is from RefSeq and is a predicted model, not a curated record.
GUUUUCAUUUAUUUGUUUGAAAGAAAUUUAUACAAAAAUUUUAUAAUUUAAAUUGAACAAAAAAAGCCGUGGCUUCUUAAGGGUAGAUAGAAUGAUAAAUUAAUAUUGUAUAUCAGUUUUAAUAAAUAAAAGAAGGUAAGAUAGAAGAAAGGAGGAACAGAGGGAGACCAAGGCAUAAUUACAUCAGGCAGAUCAAGGAAGGAAUUGGUGUCGUGUCGUAUCAAGAGGUGAAGAGACUCGCUGAAAAUCGUAGUGAGUGGCGGUAGAAAACUUUUGGCUGAAGAAUAUUUAGAGGCGAAUGAUGAGACAAGCUGUGCAUUCCACUUGAGCGAGUCUGUGUCUGCUUCACUGAGAAUCAUGGCUGUUUAUAGAGACGAGCAGUUGAAAGCCGCUGGUAAUAAACUUCAUAGGAUCACAUCCCAUAUCAAGCCCGUAAAAGAUUUGAUUGACUCAAAUCCAAUGUGUAAAGAGGACGAGAAACUAUUUGAUUUCAUAUCAACUGACGCAGCAGAGAUAACGAAAACAUUGGAAUCGGCAAAAAUUGAAGAGGACCCUCUGCAUAAGAGAUAUAUGAGGUUCAGCUCAGAAAAUAAUGUGGACAACUUUAGGAAAAUAUUAAAUGAAUUGCCAAAAGAAUGGACCGUGGUCCAGUUGACAGCACCGUACAAUCCCAACGAGAAUUUAAAACCGAUGAACGAAUUCAGAACAGAAAUAUAUUCUAUAUAUUUGACAGUAUUCACUAAUGACUAUUUAAGUGAAACUGGACCGUUCACUGUCAAUAUUCCCGCCAAUUUAAACAAAGAAGGCGAAAAACCAUUAUUUACGGAGUUAUAUUCCUUAUUGGACGAGAAUUAUGAAACAAUAUCGAACGCGCAGUUUCUGAACAACAAACGGUUGGUGCAAAACUAUUGGAGCAGGAGGGAAGACAUCGAUUUGAGGAUGAAGAGUGUAAUAAAUGUAAUGGAGAAAGAAUGGCUCGGUGGAUGGGGCAGCCUGUUGACUGGGAAACUGGUGGAGGUCGGCCUUAAGGAGAGGAUUGUUAAAUUGGUGGACACUACUAUAUCAGAUUGGGGAUUCAUAAAACUCACAGCCAAACAGAGAGUACUGCUGUACAAUUUGAUAGAGAGUAGCCCCGUGCUAACUUCACAUCAAAUAAAACCCUGCAUUAGGAGAAUUUUAACUGAACAUGGCAACACUGAGGAGGUUAAACAAGCCCUUGAGAAAAUAGAUUGCCAGACAUGCGACAAAGAAUUUAAGUUUUUAAACGAAUUGUGCCUACAAUGCUUGUCGAAAGCGUUCGAAUCGAUUCAUCAGUUUACUUUAGUUGAUGGUAUUAAGGCAUUUUCUCAAGUGGCAACUUCGGUUAAAGAGGACGAUGAGUGGGUAAUCCUGAAGAAGGCGGAGAGAUAUCCAGUCAUACUAAUUGUUGAUGAAAUCCUCGACUCGUUCCCGUGGGAAACGCUACCCAUUCUGAACCACCAUCCAGUUUGUAGAAUGGAGAAUAUCCAUUUCAUAUAUUAUCUAUUUAAACUUCACGAGGAACAGUUCGUUGGUGGAUACUUCGAAGCCAGUGCUGACGUGGGGCGAUAUGUCAUCAAUCCAGAUAAGAAUUUAGAACGCAUGGAGAAACGCAUGUGCUCCUUCGUGAACUAUUGGUGCAGUGACUGGACCGGCCACGUGGCAGAGCCACCUUCUCCCGAGGACUACUUGAGGCACUUGACACAAGCUGACAUAUUCUUGUACUGCGGGCACGGCGACGGCUGCCACCUGGCAAGCGGCGGCGGCGGCGCUGGUGUGGAGGGCGUGCGGGCGCGGGCCGUGUGCGUGCUGGCGGGCUGCGGCUCCGUGCGCCUGCAGUGGGCCGCUGGUCGCGGGCCGCCCGCCGCGCCGCACCACCGACUACACGUGGCCGCCAGGUAUACACUGUGUGCUGUGUGCUGUGUGCUGUGUGCUGUGUGCGUGCUGGCGGGCUGCGGCUCCGUGCGCCUGCAGUGGGCCGCUGGUCGCGGGCCGCCCGCCGCGCCGCACCACCGACUACACGUGGCCGCCAGGUAUACACUGUGUGCUGUGUGCUGUGUGCUGUGUGCUGUGUGCGUGCUGGCGGGCUGCGGCUCCGUGCGCCUGCAGUGGGCCGCUGGUCGCGGGCCGCCCGCCGCGCCGCACCACCGACUACACGUGGCCGCCAGGUAUACACUGUGUGCUGUGUGCUGUGUGCUGUGUGCUGUGUGCUGUGUGCGUGCUGGCGGGCUGCGGCUCCGUGCGCCUGCAGUGGGCCGCUGGUCGCGGGCCGCCCGCCGCGCCGCACCACCGACUACACGUGGCCGCCAGGUAUACACUGUGUGCUGUGUGCUGUGUGCUGUGUGCUGUGUGCUGUGUGCGUGCUGGCGGGCUGCGGCUCCGUGCGCCUGCAGUGGGCCGCUGGUCGCGGGCCGCCCGCCGCGCCGCACCACCGACUACACGUGGCCGCCAGGUAUACACUGUGUGCUGUGUGCUGUGUGCUGUGUGCUGUGUGCGUGCUGCCGGGCUGCGGCUCCGUGCGCCUGCAGUGGGCCGCUGGUCGCGGGCCGCCCGCCGCGCCGCACCACCGACUACACGUGGCCGCCAGCCCCAUGGUGGUGGGCAUGUUGUGGGAAGUGACGGACUUGGAGGUGGACAAGAUGGUGAGCACGCUGGUGUCUCUGUACGUGCCUUCAACAGCAGCGCCCGCGUGGCCCAGCGUUGGGAAGACCAAGUGGAGCCAGGGGCAACUUGAUACUGAUGUAGCCGAGAAGAGUCCAUUCGUGCCAGAACGAGACCUACUGCGGGCGGUGGCCAGGUCGCGCGGCUCCACCAACUACGUGAUGAUAGCGAGCAGCAUGGUCGCCAGAGGGCUUCCCGUUCGAAUCUCA